Molecule: ribosomal RNA, 510 nt
Filed under: Triticum aestivum (bread wheat)
Lineage: Eukaryota; Viridiplantae; Streptophyta; Magnoliopsida; Poales; Poaceae
Description: partial small subunit ribosomal RNA
Source: RNAcentral
AUGGAGCCGCUGCACUACCCCGCGGUGGCGAUAGGGACUGCAGAGCUACCCCCAUGGCGACAGCCAGCGCCGAUAGGCAGAUGUGUGUGGCGGAAGGCGGGCUCGCAACGGAUGGGGAUGCUGAGCCGCAAGCAUGUGAGCAGGCUGGACUCGCAGGUUAGGAUUGGAGCUGCUGCUCCAGGAAGGGCACCUUGCCCUAGGCGAACCAACACUCUUGAGAAGGCAAUAUGGGGGUUCGCUGACAAACCGGGCGACAUUGUAAUCAUGCUUGCACUGGGUACAAGCUUUGACACACUCGGGGAGGCCUAUGAUUUUUCCAAUCUCUACUCGUGGGAGAAGGGAUUUGGAAUAAGAUACAGGAAGAGUAUACUGAAUGUGGAGAGGACAAAAUGCAUGCAGGAAAUUGUUUGCGGCUGUGCGGGUAAAGCUGGGGUGGAGAACAGUAGAUCGUGCCAUGACUGCCCUGCAUUAAUAAGGUUGCUCCGCUCAAAGGCAAUGGUUGGUACAUAG